UAUGUAAAAUGAGAGUUGGUACAUAAUAUACCUAUGAUUUAUUUGCAGCGUAGAAAAAAAUAUUAUUUUCCGAUUUUCUAAACGUAAUAUUUCUAUAAGUAAAUAGAUAUCCGUAUUCGGUUCCCUUUUAAUUUUAAAGGGAAGAGGGGAGAUGCGUGGGCAUCUCAAACGUAGCUUUGUAAAAUCAAUAAACUGUACGACAAAUAGUUAAGAUCUAAUUUUGUACAUUAAAUUCAAAUGGUAGAGAUAUUUUUUCAUUAGGAUCUUAUUUUGUCAUCGCGUUCUUUAUUUUGUAACAUUGUUAUGUGUGUAGCUGUUGUUAAAACAAUAAUAUUAUAUAAGUUUUAGCAGAAUACUGUUGGCGAAACAUGUCCAAAUAUUGAUAAUAAUAGGUACAUAGGUAGUUACGAGAUAAUGUUUCAACGUCUAUAUUCUCCUUGGAUUUUGUGAACUAUACGAGGUAUGUGUACAACAAAUUACUGUAUAUUUUUUGUAUUUAACUGGUUUUUGAUUUUUUCGAAAAUAUCCAUACGGCGUAUUGUUUGAGCAAACACGUUUUGCGGCUCUUAACAUUUUUUGAACAAUAUAACUAUUAUAUUAUUAUAAUUUAUAAGCGAGAUAUAAAUUCUUUCGAUCAGUACUAUAUUGUGUAAUAAUUAUUAAAGUACUCACAAUGUAGUUCUGUACACGGUACAACCUGCUUAUGUAUUAUAAUUAAAUGCAAAACGCCGUACGAAACACGUAUAUACUCAAUAUUAUUAUAAUAAUAUUAAUUAUUAUUAUUAUUAUUAUUAUUAUUAUUAUUGCCGUUUGUGUACAAGCGUAUACUAUAGAAAUUACGUGUCGAGAAAUAAUAAUUACUAUAUAGUCUCAUUAUCCAAUUACGGAUUAAUUAUUGUAAAACGGCGUCCGUGUUCAAUUAAAUAUUGUCCGCUCAUGGAUUUAUAAUAUAAUAAUAUGCAUUAUAUUGUGUAUACCUACCUAUAUAGGUAUAAAAUAAACUGCAGAGUAUACUUUCUGAUGUAAUCGAUUCUUCGAUAAAUAUUCAAUAUAUUAUGUAGAGUGCAGUUGGUACAUAUAUUGAAGAAACAAGGUGAUUUUUUGUUGUUUUUUGCGAUCCGUCUACAUAAUAAAAGUAUUUAGUCGUUUUUCUCAGUAUUUAUAUAUCAGACAUAAUAUAAAAAAUCGUUUGACGAUAUUAAUAACAAUAUUUUAAAAAUGUUGGCCUUAUUACCGAAUGCGUAAUCAUGUCGGAUUUACCGUAUACAUAUUAUAAUAUAUUGACGGUUUACAAUAAUUUAGACCAGAGGAUCGGGAUGACGAAUGAAAAUUAUCAUUUCAAAACGAAUGUGAAAUUUAUCACCCUCCCUUAUUCCUCGAAGUCAAUACGCAUUUAAUUAGAUAGUAGAUAACAUUUGACAAUACUAUUUAAUAGAAGCAUAAACAGUUGCAUGUAAUAAUAUAACGAUAAAACAGAAAUAAAAUUAACUUAAAAUCCUCCGUGAAAAUCGCUGGAUCGUGCAGAUAAAAAAAAAAUAUAAAACCAUCCUGUAUAGUGUAUACUUUUUCGAGCACGUUCGUAAAACGUGUACAUUUUAUUGGUAAAUAUCAACCUACCUAACGAUUUUAUUGCGUACGAUUAUUUUAAAUCAAUCGGAGAUUCGCUGUAAAUCCGCGGUAAGAGUAACAUUUUUAUUCUUAGAAAAAAGCCUAGUAAAAUACAUCGGUAAUCAUCUCAGGUUUCUCCGUUUUUCUACUAUGACGAUUUUUAAAAAAAUAAAAAUCCAACCAAAACCCCAUGUUAUAAUGACAAUACUAAAUACCGACAGCCUAGUGGUUCCCUACCUUUUUUAUUCUACGCCCACUUUGUAGAUUUUCAAGAAUCUUGUGCCCCCUCUCUUAACAACGAGACGAAGAAAAAAAAAGUCAUCAACAAAAUCCUAUAAUAUAAUAUUCGUAUAAAAGCUGAUAAGUAAACAAGCCUACUCGGUAGCCGGUCGUUAUUAAUUUUUAAUUUUUUCUCUUCAUUGUAAAAUAAAAAUAAUUUAAUAAAUACAAAUUUUACAUCGUAAUGAUUGCUUGCACCUCCCCAGCAAUGUGUUCACGUCUCCCCUAUAAGGUUAGGAAGCAUUUUGAUAGCCCGACGGAGAUGCGUCAGCUGAUAAAACUCAAUACGUUACCGUCUCUAUAGUUAACUCGGUUAUUCAUAUUUCAUUUUAAUUAUUCGAUAUGUUUAUCCCUCACUUUUUUUUCUUAUUGCAUGCGUUUUCACAUGAUUAAAAUAAUGUAACCAAAGUAAUUAGAUGCAACUCCUUUUAUUUUUAACAAAUAUAUUAAGUAUAUUAACUGCCAAUACAGAAUUAGAAAAGAAAUGUUUUCUGUAUAGAAAACUAUACCUAUAACCAAUCACUUU
Molecule: long non-coding RNA, 2413 nt
Filed under: Cinara cedri
Lineage: Eukaryota; Metazoa; Arthropoda; Insecta; Hemiptera; Aphididae
Source: RNAcentral